Molecule: long non-coding RNA, 1126 nt
Organism: Oncorhynchus tshawytscha (Chinook salmon)
Lineage: Eukaryota; Metazoa; Chordata; Actinopteri; Salmoniformes; Salmonidae
Source: Ensembl
GCAUUCAACUGAAAUGUGUCUUCUGCAUUUAACCCAACCCCUCUGAAUCAGAGAGGUGCGGGGCUGCCACAAUCAGAGUGGGAAGACGGAGAAAUAUGGGUGAUCGAUAUUUAGGCCUAUUUCUAGGCAAUGUAGUAAACUAUAACCUAACCAUUGGCCUAUUUAGGAAGUACAUUUCCUUGGAAAGGAGGAUCAGGUGGUGACAGGGGUCUCUGCAGGGUCAGGCAGCCAGGGAAGACCAGUCUGUGAUGGAGGUCUGUUUAGUUUGCUAGUGCCUCUGGGCACAUGGAGGGAUGAGGCAGGGAGGGAGAGCAGCCUGGAGCCCCUGCCUGCCAGGAGCUCCCCUGCCUGGCUCGGGGGAAGGUUGGGCUGGAUUAGACGGCUGACAGCUGGGCCAGAUCUCUGGAGGCGCCGGGUGGAAAGGCCCCCUGUCUGACUGCCGCUGCACCAAGUGUCAAUUUGAGCAUGAAGGAAGGUGCAGGGAGCAGGUGAAUAGAGGGAUGGAGGGAGUGAGCGAGCGAGAGAACAGGGGCCACUGGUAGUCCUCUGUGGAUUGACAUCAUUGGUGCAUGGGCCGUGCACACCGUUAGGCAUCGAGAAACACACUGUUUAUUUAGGAGGAGCUUCCGACUUGGGAGCACAAACGUGCACACACGGAUGGAGGACGCGCGCGCGCAGACACACAUGGAUAGACAGACAGAGACAAAGCCCACUUACAAGGGUUGAGCUCUGCCCUCUUCUAUAUGUAAGUCUUGUUGUCGGUAGAAGUGAGUAGGGGAGAAAGUCUAACUUGCAUAGUGACAGCAUGUACUUACAUUACCUUGUUGUUUAAGUAACACACCCACAUAUUUUAGAUAUCGGCAGGUAGCCACUGGUUUGAAUACCUGAGUCAACAAGUUGAAAAAUCUUUCGAUGUGCCCUUGAACAAGGUAAAUAACCCUAAUUUGGUCCAGGGGAACUGUACUACUAUGGCUGACACUGUAAAAUAAAACAUAUCUUUAUAUUUAGGAAACAACAGCUUAAAUAAUGCCUGGAACUCUUCUUGGGAACCCACAGCUUUUCUAUAAUGGAAAUAUAACCCACCUCAGGCAGCAUCCUAUACAAUUAAGUGCAAUCAAGAUUACAG